Molecule: microRNA precursor, 89 nt
Filed under: Chlorocebus sabaeus (green monkey)
Lineage: Eukaryota; Metazoa; Chordata; Mammalia; Primates; Cercopithecidae
Description: miRNA (ENSCSAG00000025141.1)
Source: RNAcentral
CUAUUAGCAUUUAGGUGCAAAAGUGAUUGCGGUUCUUGCCAUUAUUUUCAGUAGCAAAAAUCGCAAUUGCUUUUGCACCAACUUCAUAC